GAUAAACGCUUGCGGCGUGCCUUAUGCAUGCAAGUCGAACGGUUUCGAUUUAUCGAGGCAGUGGCGAACGGGUGAGUAACGCGUAAGUAACCUGCCCCUAAGUUGGGAAUAACCUCGGGAAACCGAGGCUAAUACCGGAUGUGGUAACAGGGUUAUGCUCUGUUACUAAAGCCGAAAGGCGCUUAGGGAGGGGCUUGCGUCCGAUUAGCUAGUUGGUAGGGUAAUGGCUUACCAAGGCGACGAUCGGUAGCUGGCUUGAGAGGGGGGUCAGCCACACUGGGACUGAGAUACGGCCCAGACUCCUACGGGAGGCAGCAGCAAGGAAUAUUGGGCAAUGGGCGAAAGCCUGACCCAGCGACGCCGCGUGGGGGAAGAAGGCCUUCGGGUUGUAAACCCCUUUUCUCAGGGGAGAAUAAUGACGGUACCUGAGGAAUAAGUCUUGGCUAACUACGUGCCAGCAGCCGCGGUAAUACGUAGGAGGCGAGCGUUAUCCGGAUUUACUGGGCGUAAAGAGGGCGCGGGCGGCUUUUUAAGUCGGAUGUGAAAUCUCCUGGCUUAACCAGGAGGGGUCAUUCGAUACUGAUGGGCUAGAGAGCAGCAGAGGGAGGUGGAAUUCCCGGUGUAGUGGUGAAAUGCGUAGAUAUCGGGAGGAACACCAGUGGCGAAGGCGGCCUCCUGGGCUGUUCUUGACGCUGAGGCGCGAAAGCUAGGGGAGCAAACAGGAUUAGAUACCCUGGUAGUCCACGCGUAAACUAUGGACACUAGGUAUGGGGAGUAUCGACCCUCUCCGUGCCGCAGCUAACGCUUUAAGUGUCCCGCCUGGGGAUUACGGCCGCAAGGCUAAAACUCAAAGGAAUUGACGGGGCCCCGCACAAGCAGCGGAGCGUGGGGUUUAAUUCGAUGCAGCGCGAAGAACCUUACCAAGGCUUGACAUGCUGGAAGUAGGAACCCGAAAGGGGGACGACCUGUUAAGUCAGGAGCCAGCACAGGUGCUGCAUGGUUGUCGUCAGCUCGUGUCGUGAGAUGUUGGGUUAAGUCCUGUAACGAGCGCAACCCUCGUUGCCAGUUGUGUUCUCUGGCGAGACUGCCCUGCAAAACGGGGAGGAAGGUGGGGAUGACGUCAAGUCAGCAUGGCCCUUAUGCCUUGGGCUACACACACGCUACAAUGGGUGGUACAGCGGGUAGCAAAGGAGCGAUCCGGAGCCAAUCCUAAAAACCAUCCUCAGUCCGGAUUGCAGGCUGAAACUCGCCUGCAUGAAGUCGGAGUUGCUAGUAACCGCAGGUCAGCACACUGCGGUGAAUACGUUCUCGGGCCUUGUACACACCGCCCGUCACGUCAUGAAAGUCGGCAACACCUGAAGUCGAUGGGCUAACCGCGGAUUUAUCCGGGGGGGCAGUCGCCGAGGGUGGGGUUGAUGAUUGGGACG
RNAcentral lists this ribosomal RNA (1427 nucleotides) under uncultured prokaryote. RNAcentral describes it as "partial 16S ribosomal RNA". It matches the Rfam family "Bacterial small subunit ribosomal RNA". The record is from RNAcentral.